This 336-nucleotide long non-coding RNA is filed under the name Carica papaya (papaya). RNAcentral describes it as "long non-coding RNA (CPAP_LNC011360)". The record is from RNAcentral. Lineage: Eukaryota; Viridiplantae; Streptophyta; Magnoliopsida; Brassicales; Caricaceae.
GCUUCUGGUUCGUCUUCUCCGGCGAGGGCAGGCGACUAGGGUUUUGUGGUCUGGUGUGGGGGUUCUAUUUAUACCCUUUUGCCUUUUGAUCUCAACCGUUUAUUUUGUUUUAAUCUGGGCCAUCCGUUUUUUGAUUGAAUCUGGGCCGUCCGUGCGAUUGCAUCUGGGCCGUCCGUGCGCGCGAUUGAUCUGGGCCGUUCGAUCGCGCGUACGCGGAUCGCCAACGUGGCCCGUCCCCGGUCGACGUGGUUUUGCCACGUGGCAGGUCCUGGUUGGCCAGAACUGCUGACUGGGUCUGCUGACGUGGCUGCUGACGUGGCGCGCGUUUUUUUUUUC